Molecule: ribosomal RNA, 305 nt
Filed under: uncultured bacterium
Lineage: Bacteria
Description: bacterial SSU rRNA
Rfam family: Bacterial small subunit ribosomal RNA
Source: RNAcentral
UUUGUCCUACGGGGGGCAGCAGUGAGGAAUAUUGGUCAAUGGCCGUAAGGCUGAACCAGCCAAGUAGCGUGAGGGAAGACGGCCCUAUGGGUUGUAAACCUCUUUUAUGCGGGGAUAAAGGUGUCCACGUGUGGAUGUUUGCAGGUACCGCAUGAAUAAGGAACGGCUAAUUCCGUGCCAGCAGCCGCGGUAAUACGGAAGGUCCGGGCGUUAUCCGGAUUUAUUGGGUUUAAAGGGAGCGUAGGCCGGCUUUUAAGUCAGCUGUGAAAGUCCGCGGCUCAACCGUGGAAUUGCAGUUGAAACUG